AUGGAACAUAAUAAACUCUUUUAAAGUUAUAUACCCCAAGCCUGCUUUUAACUGAAAGUUUAUAGACGCGAUGAGCUCACUCCUGGAACCACAUCAUGAGAGGUAUUUUUCUUCAACCACUGCUGAGAUAAAGUUCUACACAUAAGAACCACUCCUGGAAAAGACACAUCUCUGGGCUGACCAAAGAUCAUAAUCCAUCUCUGUGCAACAUGGAAGACAAGACACCUCUAAGAAAAAACAUGUAUCUCUCUAUUUGUGGCCAUCAAAAUCCAGUCCAUGCGUUUUUUGUAAAUGCGACUUCAUCUCCCAGUAUCAGAAGGAGUGAAAAUCCAGAACUUUUACUGAACUUGAAUUUCAAUGUGAACAGCAAGAUUUGAAUAGAAACACUUUACUUUG
Molecule: long non-coding RNA, 396 nt
Filed under: Pan troglodytes (chimpanzee)
Lineage: Eukaryota; Metazoa; Chordata; Mammalia; Primates; Hominidae
Description: lncRNA (ENSPTRG00000054548.1)
Source: RNAcentral